GAAAGAAAAUUAACCGGUAUAUCGAGAGCUUUGCCUUCCGGCUCAGCUCUCUUUUCGUCACAACGGUGUGGUAAAGCGAAUGCAAUACCGCCCACGCUACUCCAAUUUUCCGGCCAAUCUCCUGCUCCAUUGUUCCCGAGAUACUUUCCGGCCAAUCUCCCGAACAAGACCCCGAGAUACUUGAACUCCUUUACUUGGGGUAACGCCUCAUUCCCUACCCGGAGGAGGCACUCCAUCGGUUUCCUGCUGAGAACCAUGGCCUCAGAUUUAGAGGUGCUAAUCCUCAUCCCAACCACUUCGCACUCUGCUGCGAACCGGUCCAGUGAGUGCUGAAGGUCACAGACCGAUGAUGCCAUCAGGACCACAUCAUCACAUCACCCAUGCCAUGUGCACUAAUGCACCACCAUACCAUCACGGAUGCUGGCUUUUGUACUGUGUGCUGAUAACAAGCCAGAUGGUCCCUCUACUCUUUAGUCCAGAGGACACGCCGUCCAUGAUUCCCCAAAAAAAUUCACAUUUUGAUACGUCAGACCACAGGUCAUUUUUCACCUCAGUCCAUCAUAAAUGACCUUGGGCCCAGAGAAGGCGGUGGUGUUUCUGGAUCUUGUUUAUAUAUGGUUUCUUUGCAUGAUAGUUUUAACUUGCAUUUGUGGAUGCAGCAACGUAACGUGUUCACAGACAAUGGUUUUCGCAAGUGUUCCUGAGCCCAUGCAGUGAUGUCCACUGCAGAAUUGUCUCUGUUUUUAAUGCAGUGCAGCCUGAGGGCAUGAAGAUCUGGGGCCUACAUUAUUGGUUUUCGGCCUUGUCCUUUGCAUAUAGAGAUUUCUCUGGAUUCUCUGAAUCUUUUAAUGAUAUUAUGUAUCGUAGAUGAUGAGAUCCCAAACUCUUUGCUAUUCUACGUUGAGAAUUGUUAUUCUUAAAUUGUUGCACUUUGCCCGCGCAGUCUUUCGGUGGUGAACCCCUCCCCAUCCUCACUUCUGACAGACCCAUCCUCUCUGGAAUGAUCUUUUACUACCCAAUCACGUUACUGGCCUGUUGCCAAUUGACCUAAUUAGUUGUGUGAUAUUGGACCAGGUUUUUUUUUUUUUUAGCAUUACACAACUUUUACAGUCUUUUGUUGCUUCCGUCUCACCUUUUUUUAGGUGUUGUGGGCAUCAAAUUCAAAGUGGGCAUAUUUUUCAAGAAACGAUUGUCUCGGUAUUUUAUGUUGUUUUUGUACUAUUUUCAUUGGCACGACUGGUACAAAUUAUUUGUCUAUGAAUUGGGCAAUGUCGGGAAUUAGGGUAUAGUUUAGAAUGCAAUAUGUCCCACAGCAGACUAACUGAUUUCCAUAGAUGUCAACAGAAAUAAAUACUUAAAAAAACAACUAUUUGACUUGUCUUGUUACAUAGGUUUUAUUUGACCAGGUACAUUGACUGAGAACACAAAUUACUUGGGAAGGAGUUACUGUGUAGGGGAUAGGCUUGGGCCAGUUUAAAGGAGUGAGGCUUUGGACAGUUCUAAAGCAACACUAAAACCAUACCUCUAACUGCUAUUUCUUUGUUCAGGGCAUACACAACCUACA
Molecule: long non-coding RNA, 1564 nt
Organism: Esox lucius (northern pike)
Lineage: Eukaryota; Metazoa; Chordata; Actinopteri; Esociformes; Esocidae
Source: Ensembl